AGCGUCCCUUUUCUCCGUCCGUCUCUCUAAAUUGGAUUUCACGUUACAAUGCAACAGGUUUGACCUCUACGGAUGAAAGUUAAGCGUAACACCGGUUGUCUUUUACAUCGUCUUUAAAUCUGAAAGAUGCCACACAGAAUUGAAUUCAGCAAAAGCGGGAUUAUGCAGUGAGUAAUGCUGCCGUGACGACUGCUGGCUACACCAACGCCCAUAAUCUCUGAAUUUACCAGCUUCUGUUACUUGCAUUGAUUCUGUACUUUCUCCUUUAUGUGGAAGUUUGCUAGUUAAGUUUAGGUCACAUCCUGUAUCAUAGUUAAAUAUUAAGUAACUCUGCAACACUAAAGUUUCUCUUUUUCUCUCUCUUUGUCUUUUUCUGCAGCCAUUUUUUUGAAAACUAAAAUAAGAUGUGCCCAUUAGACGAAUGCCAAACUCCUCACCUGCAUCACUUUUCUUUUCACUUCCUGUGACUUGGACUUGGAGGCCGACACAUUUGGACAUACAUGUUCCUCCUCCCCUCUCCACUCCCUGGACAUCACAUAGCCAACAGAUUAAUUAGACAACUGAUAGCAGUGUUCUCUCUUAGUCCUGGCCCACUGAGUUUUGUUUUUCUUUUUCACUUCUUGUAAGCCUCUAAUUUCUAUCUUUACAUUAAUGGAGCUUACUUGGUGUGCUGACCCAGGGGAGGCAAAAAAUUAAGUCUCCUUUUUUCCUCCAGGGGGGCUGCAGCUUAUUCCGCAGCUAGUUUGCUUCAUCCAUUUGCUGAGGGAAAAUAUUAUACCAGGCAAUUUUGUUAGACCGUGCAGAUCCUAAAUUUAACAAAAAAAAAAGAAAAAAAAAAAGCUUACAUUUCAUUAUCACUUUUCCGUUGUAUCGCACAAUCUUACAGGGAACGUUGCAAUCUAUAAAUAAAAGCAAAGGGCAUUUUG
Stegastes partitus (bicolor damselfish) is the source of this 926-nucleotide long non-coding RNA. RefSeq lists it as uncharacterized. The record is from RefSeq and is a predicted model, not a curated record. Lineage: Eukaryota; Metazoa; Chordata; Actinopteri; Pomacentridae. The transcript has 2 exons.